AUUGAACGCUGGCGGCAUGCUUUACACAUGCAAGUCGAUCGGUAACAGGCCUUCGGGUGCUGACGAGUGGCGAACGGGUGAGUAAUGCAUCGGAACGUGCCCAGAGGUGGGGGAUAACGCAGCGAAAGCUGUGCUAAUACCGCAUGUGAUCUGAGGAUGAAAGCGGGGGACCAAGCAGCAAUGUUUGGCCUCGCGCCUCUGGAGCGGCCGAUGUCAGAUUAGGUAGUUGGUGGGGUAAAGGCCUACCAAGCCGACGAUCUGUAGCUGGUCUGAGAGGACGACCAGCCACACUGGGACUGAGACACGGCCCAGACUCCUACGGGAGGCAGCAGUGGGGAAUUUUGGACAAUGGGCGCAAGCCUGAUCCAGCAAUGCCGCGUGCGGGAAGAAGGCCUUCGGGUUGUAAACCGCUUUUGUACGGAACGAAAAGGCUCUGGCUAAUACCUGGGGCUGAUGACGGUACCGUAAGAAUAAGCACCGGCUAACUACGUG
This 492-nucleotide ribosomal RNA is filed under the name uncultured bacterium. RNAcentral describes it as "partial 16S ribosomal RNA". It matches the Rfam family "Bacterial small subunit ribosomal RNA", at positions 30 to 507 of the family's 1533-position model. The record is from RNAcentral.